CUUCCCCGCCCCCACUGAUCACUAUUUAACACAGAGUAACGAGUGUAACCACAUGCUUGAUAAAGAGUCCUGUGUGACUCGAAACGUCGCAUUAUUUUGUCUACUGAAAAUGAGCCAAUAAAUCACAAAGAAAGUUUACUGAAACAACGUGUCAGUGUGCUGCGGUCUUUUGGAUAUUUCAUAUGACUGAAACCCAUGGCAGAGUGGGAAAUUGGCUGCUAAGCACCUGGUCCCAAAAGGGAAAAGAAACAGAGAUCUUGAACGUGGGGAAGAAUUUGUACUACAUCACAGGAUGUUUGCGGUGAGAGCUUCCAUAGCUAGAAUGUGGAAGGCGAGUUUAGCGCCAACGAUACAUCAAGUCCUUAAAGAUGCUCAAUACAGCAUGUCAAUGGAGGAACUAAUGGACUGUGAUAUUAAGCGGGCAGCCCAAAACACUGCUAUUUGGAGAAUCUGGAGACGCACGCAAUUACUUGACCUGUGUCGGCAAACCUUAUCUACUCAUGGGUCAGCGGUCUCAGCAACAUGAUCAGAUUGCAUUGUGUAAUUCUUUGUACUUUUUUUUUCUGAGCAAUGAGAUCUUGGGUUUAUUACGGGAUGUGCCUAUUUCUCCCUCUUUUUUCUUUCUUCCCCUGUCAUCAUCCUCACUAACAAUCCCCUUCUCCCUUUCUACACGGUAUACUUGGUGACUUAUCGUGGAAGAUAUCUGUUGAAUGACAAUAUGCUGUAUACCUAACCUGCUUUACUUUUCUUUUUGGAAAAUAAUAAAGAAUAUUUGGAAA
Long non-coding RNA from Xenopus laevis (African clawed frog), 779 nucleotides. RefSeq lists it as uncharacterized. The record is from RefSeq and is a predicted model, not a curated record. The transcript is spliced from 2 exons. Lineage: Eukaryota; Metazoa; Chordata; Amphibia; Anura; Pipidae.